This 689-nucleotide ribosomal RNA is filed under the name uncultured bacterium. Its description in RNAcentral is "bacterial SSU rRNA". It matches the Rfam family "Bacterial small subunit ribosomal RNA", at positions 61 to 762 of the family's 1533-position model. The record is from RNAcentral.
GUCGACGAGAGAAGAUUGGUGCUUGCACUGAUCCGAUCGAGUGGCGGACGGGUGAGUAACGCGUGGGUAACCUGCCUCAUACAGGGGAAUAACAGUUGGAAACGGCUGCUAAAACCGCAUAAGCGCACGGUAUCGCAUGAUACAGUGUGAAAAGCUCCGGUGGUAUGAGAUGGACCCGCGUCUGAUUAGCUAGUUGGUGAGGUAACGGCCCACCAAGGCAACGAUCAGUAGCCGGCCUGAGAGGGUGAACGGCCACAUUGGGACUGAGACACGGCCCAAACUCCUACGGGAGGCAGCAGUGGGGAAUAUUGCACAAUGGGGGAAACCCUGAUGCAGCGACGCCGCGUGAGUGAUGAAGUAUUUCGGUAUGUAAAGCUCUAUCAGCAGGGAAGAUAAUGACGGUACCUGACUAAGAAGCACCGGCUAAAUACGUGCCAGCAGCCGCGGUAAUACGUAUGGUGCAAGCGUUAUCCGGAUUUACUGGGUGUAAAGGGUGCGUAGGUGGUGAGACAAGUCUGAAGUGAAAAUCCGGGGCUUAACCCCGGAACUGCUUUGGAAACUGCCUGACUAGAGUACAGGAGAGGUAAGUGGAAUUCCUAGUGUAGCGGUGAAAUGCGUAGAUAUUAGGAGGAACACCAGUGGCGAAGGCGACUUACUGGACUGCUACUGACACUGAGGCACGAAAGCGU